AUUGGCAUGGUGAUGGGCAUCAUUGUUGGGGUGCUGGUCCUCCUCGGAGCUGUGGUGGCUGGAGCUGUGCUGUGGAGGAGGAGGCGCUCAGGUGGAAAAGGAGGGAGCUAUGCUCAGGCUGCAAGUGGUGACAGUGCCCAGGGCUCUGAUGUGUCUCUCACGGCUUCUAAAGCGUGAGACAGCUGCCUUGUGGGGGACUGAGUGAUGCAAGAUGUGUUCAUACCCCCACUUUGUGACUUCAGGAACCUCUGACCUCUCUUUCUGCAAAGGGCAUCUGAAUGUGUCUGCGUUCCUCUCAGCAUCCUGUGAGGAGGGGGGAGACUGCCCGCCCCCUGCCCUCCACGCCCCCUCCCUGCACUGACAGAGUCUCUUCCCUGACCCACUGUCCUGUUCCAGCAGAGGCUGUUUUAUCCCGCUUUUACUUCAUGUUACUCUGAAUGGUAAUUAAUUACUUCCUUUUGAAAUAAGAAUCUGGAUGUGAAUCUGUUUUUUCAGUUCUUGCCAUGAAAGGUUGAUGGGUUAAUUGAAGGAGAAAAUCCUAAAUUUUGAGAGGAAAUAAAUGGAAGCACUAAGAACCUUCCAGAAUC
Molecule: long non-coding RNA, 587 nt
Organism: Hipposideros armiger (great roundleaf bat)
Lineage: Eukaryota; Metazoa; Chordata; Mammalia; Chiroptera; Hipposideridae
Exons: 4
Source: RefSeq, a predicted model, not a curated record